RNAcentral lists this long non-coding RNA (1213 nucleotides) under Citrus x clementina. Its description in RNAcentral is "Citrus clementina (C. clementina) long non-coding RNA (CCLE_LNC004449)". The record is from RNAcentral. Lineage: Eukaryota; Viridiplantae; Streptophyta; Magnoliopsida; Sapindales; Rutaceae.
UUAAAUAAAAUUAAUUUGUUUUUCCAUGCUAUAUGAUGAAAAAUUGUAAAAUUUUGAUCAUUCAAAAUUCUUUUUAACUAGUCAAAUGAAGAAUCAUAAUGAACACCAGCAGAAUUUUAUACAAGAUAAAGUUAGCUUAUAAGAUUCAGUAUAGAUUUUAUAAUAAGUAAGGGUAAAACAAAGUUAAGAAGAGUAUUUUUAGUUAUCACCGAGUUACUGAAUCAAAGAAAAAUUGAGAGCAACCAAAAGAAAAUCUGAGUUACUCAAUGGGUCACACUGUAUAAAUGUUCAGAUUAAUCUUUCAUGAGUAGUCAUCCAUUCUUUUACUUCUUGAUAUAUCACAUGGUCUAACUUGGAUACUUUUUGUUACUUUCAUCUCUGUAUAAAUGCCCAAACAUCUGUUUAAUAAUCCCAUUAAUUUGAACAAAUAAGACUAGCUCCCUAAGCACCCAUUGAGUUUGCAGUAUUUUCAUGUAGCAAUAGAAUCAAAUUUUAUAGUAAUUUCUUAUUUUUUAAAGUAAUUUGAUACGUGUUUAAUUACAUUGAUAUGAACUAAUCAAACGUAAGGUGAUUUAAGAAGAUGAAGGGAAAAAAAAGGAGUUUACGGAAGAAGAAGGAAAGAAGAGGAAGAAGAAAUGGUCAAAGAAGAUGAUGAAAAGAAGAAAGGACGAAGAAGAUGCAGUAUAAAAGAAAUGAAAGAAAGAUUUUUAUAUUGUUUAUUUUUUAUGUCUUGAAGUUUGUUCAGGGAAUUGUUUUGUAGGAUGAAGAAAACGUGCAAAUCCUUUUUUUUCUUUAAAUUUAUACCCGCAACAUUUUUAUUUUUUAAAACAGUAUUUAACCGGCUUGUAACCAGUUAAAUAUAAUUUAAUAAAAAAAAUUUAUUAUAUUAUAAUAAUUAUGAAUCGUUAUUUAAUCUAAUGACUCAUAAUAAUUACGGUAUUGAUGCGGUGAUUUUAAUCACGCCAUUAUAAAAUUUUCUUUUGAUGGCAGGUACGUAACGAUCAAGUUAUUAAAGCCGCGAUUGAGUGACGUGAGCCAGUAUCUCUCAGUAUAUGUACGGUGAAUUAAUUAAAGGACAAUGAAAUAGUACUAGGCUCUUUACAGUGUCACAAAUAGUCAACCUACCAUGCAGUGCUGUAUUUCAUACAGCGUUGGCAUGCAACUGGUACAACCGGUUUUUAACCAGUUAAUAUAAUAAAAAAUACAUUUUUAU